UACGUAGGGGGCAAGCGUUGUCCGGAUUUAUUGGGCGUAAAGAGCGUGUAGGCGGUUAGGUAGGUCCGUUGUGAAAACUCGAGGCUCAACCUCGAGACGCCGAUGGAAACCAUCUGACUAGAGUCCGGAAGAGGAGAGUGGAAUUCCUGGUGUAGCGGUGAAAUGCGCAGAUAUCAGGAGGAACACCUACUGCGAAGGCAGCUCGCUGGGACGUUACUGACGCUGAGACGCGAAAGCGUGGGGAGCAAACAGG
This 253-nucleotide ribosomal RNA is filed under the name uncultured bacterium. RNAcentral's name for it is "partial 16S ribosomal RNA". It matches the Rfam family "Bacterial small subunit ribosomal RNA", at positions 524 to 776 of the family's 1533-position model. The record is from RNAcentral.